This 6021-nucleotide long non-coding RNA is filed under the name Sus scrofa (pig). RNAcentral describes it as "lncRNA (ENSSSCG00000048429.1)". The record is from RNAcentral. Lineage: Eukaryota; Metazoa; Chordata; Mammalia; Artiodactyla; Suidae.
CUGAGAAGAGCCCAGCUCCUUGCCUUGAGCCAUGUGAACUGUGCUCUCUGUAGGAAUUCUACAGCCUCAGUGAUCUUAAAUGUUAUGGGUCCUUUGCCAGGCUGGCUGCCCUGGGCUAAGCACUGUACUUAGCGAGGAACGUGUAGCCCAGGUGAGAACUUCAGUCACCUUGACAGCCAGAAGCCUGUUACAUCCACUCAGAAAAGAAAGUCUUCCCACUAUGUAAGAGCCACCUGGGGACCAGUAGUGCAAAGGAAGCCUGCAAAGAGCCAGGAGAAUCAGAUAAUAAGAUAAUAACCACAUCAGACAAUAAGAACAAAGAAGGACUCUAGAGUCAGAGCUGAUCUGGAAUCCUAGCCCGGUUUGAGGUUUUUUGUUUGAUUGGUUUUUUUGUUUGUUUGUUUUGAGCUAGGUUGCUUUAUCUCUCUGAGACUUAGCCUCCUUGUUUUUAAAAUGGUAAAGGUAAUAAAAAUAUCUACUUAAUUAAAUUGUUGGGGAUAUAAAUAUUCAAUUAUGUAAAAGGCCUAGAACAGAGCCAGGCACUCAUUAGACUUCGAAGUAUGAUGAUGCACUUGAGAGUGUGCCCUGUGCAAUAAUUGUCCAAUUCCUACUGGCCACGAGUCUUCAGUUACAGCCUCCUGAGGACAGGGAAGACAGGAGCUUGUGACCUGGCCUGUCCAAAUUUGAGGGCUUUGAAUACUGAUGACAGAUUCCCAAAAUGUCAAAACUAGAACAAACUCGAGAGAUUGUCUAGGCAGAGGACAUUCCCAAAACUUUCUUUUAGACCCAAAACCUGUCAUUCAAACAAAAAGUUUCUGUAACACAAAACAGAUAGAGCAAAGUUAACUUAGUUGGAGAGGAAGUGACAGGGCAGAAAGCCCUUACUUGAUACCCACAGCCAUCUGUUCAGUGACACCCUUGAGGAACGUCCACAGGACACUCGAGUCCCCAGAUAACAGAGGUAGAAAUCCAGUGGUCUGGUAUACCCUCCUAUUUUAUAAGUGGAGAACCCGAAACCCAGAAAGGUUAAGUCACUGCUCCAGGAGUAUUCACAGAGGGAGCAUAGAGCCAGAUCUAGAACCAAGAUUCUUUGCCACUGAUGGUCAGUCCAAUGACACAGUAAAGAAGAGGAGAGCGUAAGUUUGUCUUGGAAGAUCCCCCACCUUCCCAGUUCAUGCCCUCUUUCCCCCAUCAUCUCCCAGUUACCCUCAUUCAAAUCUUCGAUUGACAAAUACUUCCCCUCCAGCAAUAACACAACACUCCCAGUCGGCUCUCCUCAAAGUAUCCCAUCUUCCAAACCUUUCCAGUCUCUCUCUCCCUCUCAGAAUUUAUCCGCCCUCUCUCUUGCUCCCCCAAGAUCCUGCUCCAUACUGACCUACAUGCUCACAGGCGAUUCAGUAAAGAGAUAGCUUGUAUAUUACCCAAGUAACUUCUAGAAGUAUAUUGCAACAAGAACCUCCUAGUAACCCUUCAAAAAAAAAAUUUUUUUUUUGUCUUUUUGCCUUUUCCAGGGCCGCUCCUGUGGCACAUGGAGGUUCCCAGGCUAAGGGUCAAAUUGGAGCUGUAGCCACCGGCCUACACCAGGGCCAAAGCAACAUGGGAUCCCAGCCGCAUCUGAGACCCACACCACAGCUCACGGCAAUGCCAGAUCCUUAACCCACUGAGCAAGGCCAGGGAUCGAACCCGCAACCUCAUGGUUCCUAGUCGGAUUCGUUAAUCACUGCGCCACAACGAGAACUCCAAAAAAAAUUUUAAGAGAAGAUUCAUGUUGACCACUGGGAGGUUUUAGAUAUAUGCUCUUUCAAAUCACGCCAUGCAUUCCUCACCUUACAACACUAGGGUCGCUCCACCAUCAGCAUUGGUUAACUGUGGCUACACCUCAGACCAACACCAUGCUCCCAUUUCUCACGCACCUCCAAAUCCAGCCAAUGUGCUAUUUUCAUAGGUUAUCAUAAGGAGAGGGCACGUCUGUUAAGUCACAGGGGAAAGACAAGAAGGGGAAAGUGGAGCUGAAUUAAAUACACCAGACUCAACAACCCCCACUGAACUUUCCACGGAAACGCUCCCCAUGCACUGCUCCUAGGCACCUAACAUACACCUGAGCAGUGCAAAUGUCACAAGCACUCUGAUUGCACAUAGUACUGCCGAAAUAACCAGCAGUGAGAAGACCUGGGUCUAGUCCCAACUCUGCCAUCAACUACCUGCAUGGACUUGGAAAAGUCCCACUACCAAGUCUAAGUAUCCUCAAUUGUAAAAUGAAGAGAGGAGAUAUCAUGGCUCCAAAGACCUUUCAGACAUCACUUUGUAUGACUGUCAUUCUUCAAGGAGUUUACCUUAUGGGAAAGAUGGUAGAGACAGCUGGCCUCCAAAAGCUUCCCCUUCUCCACUGAGAAGCAAUAGUCUGCCAGGCACUUCCUCCCCCAGAGGCCCUUCAUCUAGGUAAAAUCACGUGACGGGUCUUCCCAAUAGAAUACCAAUGAAAGUGAUACAUUCUACUUCCAGGCAAGGUGACAGACACAGAUGUCCCUUUUCCAUACUUUCUUACCCUAUCUCUGGCUGGAUGCAGAAAAUUCUGAGGGCCUAGAGGAGGCAGAGCCACAAGACAUAAGGAGCCUGGAUUUCCCACUGUAUAGAGGAAGCUGCACUGACCAGGCAUAUUCAUGCUGGACUAUUACAUGAACAAGAGGUCAACUUUUCUUGGGUAAAAUCACUAAAAUUUGAUGGUUUAUUUGUUACAAGAAGCUAGCAUUAACCUAACUACCACGCACACAGAGUUCUAUUAAGAUUUAGAUCUUUGAGACAAUUUGAAAAAUAUUUACAGAAAGUGCUAUGCUCACAGUUGGGAAGACUGAACAAUGAGAAAAAUAGUCCCUUCCCAGGCUCAAACCCAGUAGACCACAAAGACAUAUAUUCCUAGUAGAAUAUAACACAUUACUCUAUGUUGCAGAAUGAGAUAAAUUCGUAAGAAAAGCAAAAAUCUGCAGAGAAGGGAGAAAGGGAGAAUGAAUAAAGCCCACCCAACUCACUUCACAGGAAGACUGUUCUGGAAAGCAUCCAAGUGAACCGUAAUUAGUUCCCAGAUUGAGUUGAAAUUAUGUUUCAGUGAAGACCUGUCUCCUGAUACUCAGAGUGACCCACACUGCCCUCUGGUGAACACAUGUGGUUUGGGGGUAACAGCGGCUCCCCCUGACACAGGAGUCCCAGCAUGCCCCAUGUUCAGUGCAGGCACAAAGAAUGCGAUUUGCCCCAAGCUAUAGUUCAUCCUUUCCUAACUCACUAAUUCUCACAGAUGAAGGAACGAGAUAUGUCAGGCCCACGGACCACCCAGAGGGACUGAGGGAAAUACAAUUACUGUCUUGGGGAACGCAGACCAAAAGGGCUGAUCCUGAGGUAUUUCAAAUUUGCUCACACCUCUGAAAGGAGAACAGUGGGACGGCAGGUGGUCACUAGCGACUGAAAGUUACUCUAAACUGCUCAGGGGUUGAGCAUAUUGCCAUUUAUUACUUGGGGACUUGUCAAAGUAUUACUUUCAUUACACUAAUAAAUACCAUAAAUGUCAAAAUAGAAAAUACUCAAAGUCCUGGAACUUGUCUUAUCUAAAUCUAUAUGAUCUGGAAAUAUUUAGCAAGGGAGCCCUGUAUCACAAAACAGAUACAGAAAGAGUCCUGAGGAAAGCCUUGGGAAAUGCCCAACUAUUAAUUACACACGAAACUGAAACUCUCUUUAAUAGAAAUUGCCUCGGCUGCAAAGAACAAAGCUCAAUGUAUUCCAGGAAAGGAGAAGAGUCCAAGUUCUUUGGUUCCAUUGAGUACAGGCCCUUUAAAGGUAAAACAAUUCAUGAUGGGUAUUUGAAUUUUGUUCAGAUUGUGGAGAAAGGGGAGGAGAAGCUUGUAGAUUUCUAUUUCUCAAGUUCAAAAAACAAAAUCUGAUAUUUUUACUGUAAUCAUGAACUUAAACCUAAAUAAAGAUUUAUUUUUAUUAUUUUUUAAUGGCAGGGAGUUCUCACUGUGGCUCAUCAGGUUAAGAACCCAACAUAGUCUCCAUGAGGAUGAAGCUCUAAUCCCUGGCCUCGCUCCAGUGAGUCAGGAUCCAACAUUGCCACAAGGUGUGGUGUAGGUUGCAGAUGCGGCUCAGACCCAGUAUUGCUAUUUCUGUGGCAUAGGCCAGCAGCUGCAGCUCUGAUUUGACCCCUAGCCUAGGAACUUCCACAUGCUGCAGGUUCACCCAAAAAAAAGAAAAAAAGAAAAAGAUUUAAAGACAAAAAAAAAAAAAAAAGAAGGAAAAGACCCUUAUUUCUAGAAGCCCUCUUCUCACAUGGGUUCCAUGUCAUUUUAAAAAAUAUUUUCAUUUUAAAUCUAAAGAAGAGAAAAAAUACUAGCAUUUCAAUGUGAAUUUCACACACAUACACGUGCAUGAGUGGAUCUCACUUUUGGAAGAUAAUCCCAUUUUGAUGUAGAGUGUGUAACUAUGUGCUGCGUGUUCUCUGACUUAUUUCACAGAAGAGAUGCUAUGUAAUCAUUAAGCAGCAACGCUGAUGAUGCAGGUUGAUUCUGUGGAACUCAGAAGGCACACGAAUGUGACGAGUUUACAGAGGGCACAAUCUUCCAAGUGGAUCAUGAAAAGAGCUCAACUUCCACACAGAAGUCCAGCAACUUACCUGUACUACCCCAGCUGAGCCCAGCUCAGCCCUGCUUUCUUCCAAGAGCUCUAACCACCCACAGUGACGCAUCAUUGGGCACCAGUAGAAGCCUCCUAAUAGCUAACAUGUUACACCGGGCCUAUAAAGCCUGUUUUUAAGUUUGUUUAUCUUUAUUUGUGUGCUGAAUUCCCCCACAGCCUCCUUGAUGAGGCUAUUAAGUGCUCAGUUCUGAAGCUGGUACAGUCCUGUUUUUCCUUUGACUUUUGCCAUUCAAAUCCGGGUCCCCACCCAUGAGUCCCUAGUUGCCAGCUGGCUCUUGGGUACCUGCUUGGCAGAAACCACUUACCCUUUUAUUCCAUGCUACCUGGCUUCUUCCUGCCACAAGGAGGUUUUCCCAAAGCGGAUGGAAGGCAUUUCACACAGGAUGAGCAAUUAUUUGUGCUGUGUUUUGCCACCAAGUCUCUUUAUUGCUCUCCCAGGCAGAUCUGAUAGAGUUCCUCCGAACAGCUGGAAAGGAUGUGAACCAGGGGAAGUUCCUAGUCAGUUACUUCAUUGGCUGUGAUCACGGCAUUGAUAAAUUUUAUUUUGCACUUCAUUUUUUUCACAUCUACUCAGUAAAAAAAAACUGUAGUAAAACAUCGGCAAUAAAAUAAAAAUUCUUAAUGUGUAAAGAUAUUGUUGAAAAUGCUUUUCAGACCCUUCCAACUUGUUACAUGUAAGGAGUGAAUAAAAUUCAAAUGAUGAAUUGCUUCCUUAUUAAGAUUAGUUAUAAACUUCAUCUUAUCUUGAACUGUAUUUAAAAUCACAGUAGUAGAUUUAUAGUAGCAGGAGUAUAAAACUUAGUCAGGUGGUGGUGAACUAGAAGAACUAGUCCUCCUCCUAAAACACAAAAACAUUCAGGGGAGAAAAUGACAGGUUCAUAAAAGAUAAAUUUAUAUCAUGUAUUCCAGAAAACUGGACAUGGUGAAACUUCCCAUUCUGCAUUUGACCCUAUUGGCAGAGCCUCGUCCUAUAAAGGCACCUCUCUAGCAAGCAUCAAUUGACACUCUUAAGUCAAUUUCUGUUUCUCCAAUGUUUACAAAGACCAAGGACUAAGAGGUGAAUUCUUAGUUGAAUGGUCAGUCCACUUUGCUCACUUUAACCCUCUAACCCUAAAAUUAGAGAGACAUUUUGACAAUUCAUGAAUUGAUCUGUAUUUCCAAGGGAAAAAUACACAGACUGAUAUCAAAAGGGUGUGAACAGCAUACACAGAGUCAAAAUGAACGCUAAGUACCAGUCCAGACUCUAUACUACAUAAAGUAUAUGAAUAUAAAGUAAAAUAGUAAGUAUAAAGUGAAAAAAGAGUAUAUAAGUGAAGUAUUAAGAGCGUAAAAGUAUGUAAG